AUUGAACGCUGGCGGCAUGCCUUACACAUGCAAGUCGAACGGCAGCGGGGGAGAAGCUUGCUUUUCCUGCCGGCGAGUGGCGAACGGGUGAGUAAUACAUCGGAACGUGCCCUGUAGUGGGGGAUAACUAGUCGAAAGAUUAGCUAAUACCGCAUACGACCUGAGGGUGAAAGUGGGGGACCGCAAGGCCUCAUGCUAUAGGAGCGGCCGAUGUCUGAUUAGAUAGUUGGUGGGGUAAAGGCCUACCAAGGCGACGAUCAGUAGCUGGUCUGAGAGGACGAACAGCCACACUGGGACUGAGACACGGCCCAGACUCCUACGGGAGGCAGCAGUGGGGAAUUUUGGACAAUGGGCGAAAGCCUGAUCCAGCAAUGCCGCGUGUGUGAAGAAGGCCUUCGGGUUGUAAAGCACUUUUGUCCGGAAAGAAAUGGCUCUGGUUAAUACCUGGGGUCGAUGACGGUACCGGAAGAAUAAGGACCGGCUAACUACGUGCCAGCCGCCGCAGUAA
This 508-nucleotide ribosomal RNA is filed under the name uncultured bacterium. RNAcentral describes it as "partial 16S ribosomal RNA". It matches the Rfam family "Bacterial small subunit ribosomal RNA", at positions 30 to 523 of the family's 1533-position model. The record is from RNAcentral.